CNGCCAUGCNGCGUGUGUGAAGAAGGCCUUCGGGUUGUAAAGCACUUUCAGUCAGGAGGAAAGGGUGUGAGUUAAUACCUCAUAUCUGUGACGUUACUGACAGAAGAAGCACCGGCUAACUCCGUGCCAGCAGCCGCGGUAAUACGGAGGGUGCGAGCGUUAAUCGGAAUUACUGGGCGUAAAGCGUACGCAGGCGGUUUGUUAAGCGAGAUGUGAAAGCCCCGGGCUCAACCUGGGAACUGCAUUUCGAACUGGCAAACUAGAGUGUGAUAGAGGGUGGUAGAAUUUCAGGUGUAGCGGUGAAAUGCGUAGAGAUCUGAAGGAAUACCGAUGGCGAAGGCAGCCACCUGGGUCAACACUGACGCUCAUGUACGAAAGCGUGGGGAGCAAACAGGAUUAGAUACCCUGGUAG
Molecule: ribosomal RNA, 412 nt
Filed under: Pseudoalteromonas sp. Asnod1B05
Lineage: Bacteria; Pseudomonadati; Pseudomonadota; Gammaproteobacteria; Alteromonadales; Pseudoalteromonadaceae
Description: bacterial SSU rRNA
Rfam family: Bacterial small subunit ribosomal RNA
Source: RNAcentral